AUUAAUUAUUAGUAGUAUUACUUUUUGAGAGAGUUUUGCUCUUGUUGCCCAGGCUGGAGUGCAAUGGCGUGAUCUCAGCUCACUGCAACCGCCGCCUCACAAGUUCAAGGGAUUCUCCUGCCUCAGCUUCCCAAAGUGCUGGGAUUACAGACGUGAGCCACCUCGCCCUGCCUAUUUCAAAAAAAUUUUUAAAUACAAAUGGGCCCGGUGUGGUAAGAUUAGAUUGACAGUUAUAAAAGAUUAGAUUAGGUGCAGUGGCUCACACCUGUAAUCCCAGCACUUUGAGAGGGUGGCGGGCUGAUCAUGAGGUCAGGAGUUUGAGAACAGCCUGGCCAACCCUGGUGAAAUCCUGUCUCUACUAGAUACAAAAAAUUAGCCGGGCAUGGUGGCUGUGCCUGUAAUCCCAGCUACUCGGGAGGCUGAAGCAGAAUUGCUUGAACCUGGGAGGCAGAGGUUGCACUGAGCCAAUAUCGUGCCAUUGCACUCCAGCCUGGGUGACAGGGUGAGACUCCAUCUCAAAAAACAAAACGAAAAAAAGGCCGGGCACGGUGGCUCACGCCUAUAAUCCCACCCAGCACUUUGGGAGGCUGAGGUGGGCGGAUCAUGAGGUCAAGAGAUCGAGACCGUCGUGGCUAACAUGGUGAAACCCCCAUCUCUACUAAAAAUUUAAAAAAAAUUUUUUUAAAUUAGCUGGGCAUGGUGGCGGGCACCUGUAGUCCCAGCUACUCGGGAGGCUGAGGCAGGAGAAUGGCGUGAACCCGGGAGGCAGAGCUUUCAGUGAGCUGAGAUCACGCCACUGCACUCCAGCCUGGGCGACAGAGCGAGACUCCGUCUCAAAAAGAAAAAAAAUUGUAGGCCGGGCACAGUGGCUCAUGCCUGUAAUCCCAGCACUUUGGGAGGCCGAGGUGGGCAGAUUAUGAAGUCAGGAGAUCGAGACCAUCCUGGCUAACAUGGUGAAACCCCGUCUCUACUAAAACUACAAAAAGUAGCCAGGCGUGGUGGUGGGCGCCUGUAGUCCCACCUACUCAGGAGGCUUAGGCAGAAGAA
RNAcentral lists this long non-coding RNA (1047 nucleotides) under Homo sapiens (human). Its description in RNAcentral is "non-protein coding lnc-MAMSTR-2:1". The record is from RNAcentral. Lineage: Eukaryota; Metazoa; Chordata; Mammalia; Primates; Hominidae.